Molecule: ribosomal RNA, 397 nt
Filed under: uncultured bacterium
Lineage: Bacteria
Description: partial 16S ribosomal RNA
Rfam family: Bacterial small subunit ribosomal RNA
Source: RNAcentral
AUACGUAGGGUGCGAGCGUUGUCCGGAAUUACUGGGCGUAAAGAGCUCGUAGGUGGUUUGUCGCGUCGUCUGUGAAAUUCCGGGGCUUAACUCCGGGCGUGCAGGCGAUACGGGCAUAACUUGAGUACUGUAGGGGAGACUGGAAUUCCUGGUGUAACGGUGAAAUGCGCAGAUAUCAGGAGGAACACCGGUGGCGAAGGCGGGUCUCUGGGCAGUAACUGACGCUGAGGAGCGAAAGCAUGGGUAGCGAACAGGAUUAGAUACCCUGGUAGUCCAUGCCGUAACCGGUGGGCGCUAGGUGUAGGGGUCUUCCACGACUUCUGUGCCGUAGCUAACGCAUUAAGCGCCCCGCCUGGGGAGUACGGCCGCAAGGCUAAAACUCAAAGGAAUUGACGGG